Oncorhynchus tshawytscha (Chinook salmon) is the source of this 4294-nucleotide long non-coding RNA. The record is from Ensembl. Lineage: Eukaryota; Metazoa; Chordata; Actinopteri; Salmoniformes; Salmonidae.
CCCCUCUCCCGAAUGCCAAAUAUGUCAUUACAAUUCCUAUUCAAAUCCAAUCAAACCAUGAUUACUACAAACGCCACCGUAUUGCCGUGCUCCUAUAUACAGGUUUGAGGCUUAGCUCCCUUUAAGCAAAUAUUUAUCCCUCCAGCCAGGAUGACUUUAUUGCAGUUUGUGAUUAUAUAUGGGUCUGUGAGAGGAGUGUGUCAACCGUGCAUGCUCCACAAUGUGCCUGGAGAGAUUGAUGUUUUGUCAUCCACCUGCUUCAAAGCUGUAAAACCCGGGAGGCAGCAGCAAACGGAGAGACCUACCCAGCCCGGGAAAAAAACAAACAAAGAGAGACCUUACUGGUGCUGUUUACACAUCUGUGUGGAGGACUAUCUGGGCUUGUGUGUUUUGACAUCGCGCUCAAAUGGCUGCACGGCUCCUGUCUCAGUGAAACGGAAGAUGUAGAGGAGCUGAAUGCUGGAGAGUGAUUGAAGGAGUGAAGCUGAGCCCUGGAUGGAGGGAUCUGCUGGAGGAAAGGAGAGAGAGAGUGUCGGCGGAACUGGGCCACAGCAUCCGAGCUGGGAGACCUGAGAGAAGAGAUGGGAGAGGGCGGCUCCGCUGACUGGAGGAGUACCAGCUGGUCUCAAACAGAUAAUCUGGUGGAUUUACAUGUAUAUGGUGAAACAGAUCGGGACAAGGAAGAGUGGAGAGCAUGAAGAUGACGGCAGGCUUCACGAGACAGUGGGAAUUGUGACGGACAGGACAUGAACCAUGUCCCAGGCCAACCCAGCCCAGCCCAGCCCACGCCAGCCCAGGCCAGGCCAGGCCAGGCCAGGCCAGGCCAGUCCACAUUCAUUAGCCGGUGGCUCUCUCUCCCGGAGCUGCCUGCUGCCUGUCUGCCUGUUUGCUGACUGCUUGUGGAAAAAGCCAUUUAGCCUGCUGAAUGUCAAGAGGACCUGACCCCUAGGACCAUGCCUCAGGACUACCUGGAAUGAUGACUCCUUGCUGUCCCCAGUCCACCUGGUUGUGCUGCAGCUACAGUUUCAACUGUUCUGCCUGUGCCUAUGGAACCCCGACCUGUUCACCGGACGUGCUACCUUGUCCCAGACCUGCUGUUUUCAACUCUCUACAAACAACAGGUGUGGUAGAGAUACUCUGAAUGAUCGGCCAUGAAAAGCCAACUGACAUUUACUCCUGAGGUGCUGACCUGUUGCACCCUCUACAACCACUGUGAUUAUUAUUAUCUGACCCUGCUGGUCAUCUAUGAAUGUUUGAACAUCUUGGCCAUGUUCUGUUAUAAUCUCCACCCAGCACAGCCAGAAGAGGACUGGCCACCCCACAUAGCCUGGUUCGUCUCUAGGUUUCUUCCUAGGUUCCGGCCUUUCUAGGGAGUUUUUCCUAGCCACCUUGCUUCUACACCUGCACUGCUUGCUGUUUGGGGUUUUAGGCUGGGUUUCUGUACAGCACUUUGUGACAUCACUUGAUGUAAGAAGUGCUUCAUAAAUACAUUUGAUUGAUUGAUUGUAGCGCCUUGCGGUCAGAUGCCAAGCAGUUGCCGUACCAAGUGGUGAUGCAGCAAGUCAAGAUGAUCUCAAUGGAGCAGUUGUAGAACUUUUUGCCAAAUAUUCUCAGCCUACUGAGGGGGAAGAGGCAUUGUCAUGCCUUCUUCUGUGUUGGUGUGCGUGGACCAUGUCAAUUCCUUAGUGAUGUGGACACCGAGGAACUUGAAGCUCUCAACCCGCUCCACCUCAGCACCGUCGAUGUGGAUGGGGUUCAUGCUCAGCCUUCCGUUUCCUGUAGUCAACGUGCAUUUUACUGGUAACAAAGUUCUCCCCCUCUUCCUCAGCCUCAUCAUCCUCAUCGCCACCGCGAGCGUAAACACAAAACUCUUCGUUCUAACAAACCUUGAAAUUCCAGAUAUAAAGGUACAGUAUGUAAAUGUUCCCUGUCAGAGAAGCUCAGCUCCGGUCUGCGUUAUGUUUAGCACUCUCUCCCCUGAGAGUACCCCACUGCACUGAGCCAUGGAAAUGUCAGCGGUCAAGUUUACAUGGGAAAAGUUGGAAAGCUAAACCGCCGGUCACCCUGGGCCACAGAAAAGGUCAGUGCCUUGUCAACAGCUGGUGGAUAUGUCACUUUGAACCCCCCCCCAGUCACAGUUAGAAUCAUCCAUGUGAUGUCACCUCUCUUCUGCUUCCAUCCUUCUCUGCAUGGGCCACAUUUUUGUGGCAAUCAGAAUUAAAUGUAAUAAGUAAUUUUCCAUACAGUGCUUAACAACGAGAACAAAGGCUACUGCAUAGUAUAGGAAAGCAUUUUUAUGUAAUGUCUUAUAGUAAAUGUUCACUGUUCAACAUCAGAACCAUUCCAGGCAGAAAUACUGCAUUGUAACAGGAGCUAGUAACAUAAGCACUUCGCUGCACUCACUUUAACAUCAGCUAACCUGUGUACGUGACCAAUACACUUUGAUUUGAUUUGAUUUAAGUCGCCCUUAGACACAGAUCUGUGAUCAUUUUACCCUCCCCAAAUCCUAACUGUUUUGGGGGUUAAACGCAAAUCUGACCUUAGGGACGACUUCCUUCUACCAUCAGGACCAGGGCAUUAUGAUUCAUUAUUAAUCAUCAGUCUAAGUAUCACAGCAGGUAAGAAGGAGUAGGAAGGGAGAUAGCAGCAUGCUGCCUGGGUUUGGUGCCAAAAACGCCAUUCCCCAAUCUCUUCUUCUCCCUUUCCACUCUCCUUCUGUUUCUCUUUUUACUCCCGCUUUCUUCCAUUCUGAAAGCUGUGCAGCUUGAUCUUUAAUCUCACCCCCUCUCCUCCCUUUUCUCCUUCCCCCACUCCUCAUCUCUCCUCCCCUCUCUCUGCAGACACGGGUGUGUUGCUCUUCGCUAUAGGGGGUAAGAUGUGGAGGUCUGGUCUUACACAGCUAACAUAUGUCAGAACACCUGAGCAGCAGCUAGCCCUCCCCAUUCCCUCCUUACGACCUGCUCCCCUCCGCUCCUCUGCCACUCCUGGGUUAAUGUGCCCCCCAGCCGUGUGGCAGGGCGAGCUGGCGCGCUUCCCUCUCGCCCGGCCAGCCCCCACGCUGGGCGACCACGGCCAACCGACAGCAUCCAUCGCCCCGACAUGACGGAUCACAUAUGGAAGCCUUCCACCACCACCGGCGCACCGGCAGAUAGGGGGCAGGGGGAGGAUGGAUGGGAGGAGAGAGAGGGGGGGAGUUGGUUUUAACAUGGCAUAUAGAGAAUCAAGGUUCUACGCAGCAUUAAACCACACAGCAGAGGAAGAAAAGCGGUCUUCUCCAAACAAAGUUUCCCCCCAAUUAACAGUACCCCCUGUUACACCAAAGGUUCUCAAAGGUCAGAAGAUUUUGACCCAAAGGGACAGAAAAGGAAGGAGAUACACCUUAAAAGAAUAGACAGACAGAGACACAAAGACAGAGAGAGAGACAGAAGGUGAAUGGGGGUGAGUGAGGGGACAUUGAGAGAAGAAGAAGAGUGUUCAGACAGCACUUUAUCACUUGCUUUAAAACUCUCAAUCUUCCUCUCGUCUUUAGCAUUUGAAGCGCUAAGGUCCCCAGUGCCAGCAAAGGUCAGGGCUAUGAUUUAUUGGUCUCUUAUGGAGGUGCUGUCUGUAGGGCUGAGCGUUGUGCCAUACGUCUGGACACCAGCCAACAUUACUGGGUUCAAACUCAGCCAACACACUAGAACAGGCUUGGGGUCAAUGCCAUUUCAGCUCAAAAUAAUGACAGGAAACUUUCCUUAAUAUGUAGAUUUGUAAAUAAUUUAUUUUCUUAGCCUCCUGAAGUAUGACCAUUUUAUUUGCUUGGCAGCACGCAAGGCCAGAAUCCACUAUGCUACAAACUCAAAGGACAUCAAUUCUCCUCUCUUUUCUCUCCAACAUGUUCAGACUGUAAUACAUGUUUAAUAUGAUACAUUGUACAGCGGGAAUACGAAUCAAAAUACUGUGUAAUUAUUUUUCAAUAUUUUAAUUCAAAUCUUUUUCAGAUCAUGUCCUUGUGAUGCCAAACAUUUAUGAAAUAUGGAGAGUACCCUUGUCAAGUCUAAGUUGAAAAUUAGACACUUGUUCAUUUUGAUGUAAAUACAUGAAACUUAAUAUCCUCCAGUCCAGUACCAUUUUCUUCCUGUUUGUCAAUUCAGUGUUAUUGAUCACUAAUGAUUCAUACAAGUGAAAAUGUUAUCAUUAUUUUCCUGAAUUGCACUUAAUUUGACAUGACAAGGUCUCACAUUUUAACAAUAAACAUAAUAAACAUUUGAAUGAUUGUAUUGCGUUUUAGGGAGGGCUUUUGCCUGAUAUGUGU